GAUGAACGCUGGCGGCGUGCCUAAUACAUGCAAGUCGAGCGAACGGACGAGAAGCUUGCUUCUCUGAUGUUAGCGGCGGACGUGUGAGUAACACGUGGAUAACCUACCUAUAAGACUGGGAUAACUUCGGGAAACCGGAGCUAAUACCGGAUAAUAUUUUGAACCGCAUGGUUCAAAAGUGAAAGACGGUCUUGCUGUCACUUAUAGAUGGAUCCGCGCUGCAUUAGCUAGUUGGUAAGGUAACGGCUUACCAAGGCAACGAUGCAUAGCCGACCUGAGAGGGUGAUCGGCCACACUGGAACUGAGACACGGUCCAGACUCCUACGGGAGGCAGCAGUAGGGAAUCUUCCGCAAUGGGCGAAAGCCUGACGUAGCAACGCCGCGUGAGUGAUGAAGGUCUUCGGAUCGUAAAACUCUGUUAUUAGGGAAGAACAUAUGUGUAAGUAACUGUGCACAUCUUGACGGUACCUAAUCAGAAAGCCACGGCUAACUACGUG
RNAcentral lists this ribosomal RNA (497 nucleotides) under uncultured bacterium. Its description in RNAcentral is "partial 16S ribosomal RNA". It matches the Rfam family "Bacterial small subunit ribosomal RNA", at positions 28 to 507 of the family's 1533-position model. The record is from RNAcentral.